This 89-nucleotide small nucleolar RNA is filed under the name Carlito syrichta (Philippine tarsier). RNAcentral describes it as "Small nucleolar RNA U83B (ENSTSYG00000032785.1)". It matches the Rfam family "Small nucleolar RNA U83B". From Rfam's summary of the family: U83B belongs to the C/D family of snoRNAs. U83B like U83A has no documented RNA target and they share the same host gene with the C/D box snoRNA U43 (RPL3). Lineage: Eukaryota; Metazoa; Chordata; Mammalia; Primates; Tarsiidae. The record is from RNAcentral.
GCAAAGUUCGUUUGGUAGGCUUAAGAAAAUGAAAGACGCCCGAGUCAGACUGCGGAACCAUUCCUUGUUGCCUUCCUUCUGAGAAUAGC